RNAcentral lists this ribosomal RNA (519 nucleotides) under uncultured Acidobacteriota bacterium. Its description in RNAcentral is "bacterial SSU rRNA". It matches the Rfam family "Bacterial small subunit ribosomal RNA", at positions 385 to 896 of the family's 1533-position model. The record is from RNAcentral. Lineage: Bacteria; Pseudomonadati; Acidobacteriota.
GAUCCAGCAACGCCGCGUGGAGGACGAAGGUCUUCGGAUCGUAAACUCCUGUCAGACGGGACGAAGGGAUCUGGGUAAUAAUCCAGGUUCUUGACGGUACUGUCAGAGGAAGCCCCGGCUAACUCCGUGCCAGCAGCCGCGGUAAUACGGAGGGGGCGAGCGUUAUUCGGAAUUAUUGGGCGUAAAGGGCGCGUAGGCGGCUUGACAAGUCAAAGGUGAAAUCCCUCGGCUCAACUGAGGAACUGCCUUUGAAGCUGUAAAGCUUGAGGCCGGGAGGGGGUAGCGGAAUUCCCAGUGUAGCGGUGAAAUGCGUAGAUAUUGGGAGGAACACCAGUGGCGAAGGCGGCUACCUGGACCGGUUCUGACGCUGAUGCGCGAAAGCGUGGGUAGCAAACAGGAUUAGAUACCCUGGUAGUCCACGCUGUAAACGAUGGGUGCUCGGUGUCGCGGGUAUCGACCCCUGCGGUGCCUUAGCCAACGCGUUAAGCACCCCGCCUGGGGAGUACGGUCGCAAGGCUG